CACGUGGAAAACUCUCAGAGGCUCCAGCUUGUGUUUGCCCUCUGCAGAAUGCUGCUGGAGCUGUAGGACAUUUUACAUCAGAGCAUCAACCACUGAGCCAGGAGGAGGGUGCCUGGAACGCUCGUGUUCUGUGGGGCAGAGACACAGAAGGGGCUCUCUCAUUCCCACAGGGAAGGCAUGAUGUGCUGGGCUCCUUACCUUGUCACCUGUGCCUGCUGUUUGAGGAUUCAUCUUUUGCUUGGGUGGCUCAGAAAGUCUCGGCCUCAGGAGCUGCACCAGAUGUGUCAUUCCCAGCUCUGGACAAUGGAUGGCUGCCAAAGCUCCUCAGAACAGUGAGGCUGACAAGUGGUAUUCCUCAUGGAGCUGCUGCUUUGUGGCUCACCUUGGGGCUCCCAGCUCUCCACAGAUCCUUCGCUUCUUCUGUGGCGAGACUCCUGAUUUGGGCAGCGCUUGGUGACCGACGGCUGCAGCCAGCAUGGUCCCCUCCUACCUCGGGAGGAUAUUCACAGGUUAAUUGUCAGCUCUGUGCCCGAGAGACCUGCCAAAGGAAACCCUUGCACCUGUCAAUGACUUGUGAAGAGCCAUUCCUCAUUUCGGAGACCCCUGCCAGGAAUGGGAGAUUUACCCAUUUACCCAAGAGUAUCUAAGUUCCUCACACAAUCAGAAAAUGCCCCAAGCCCCUUCUGCAAUUGAUGUCCCCCCCGAGGAUGAUGUGUCACUACUUGAAGACUGAUCUCAGGAAGGACAAAUCAAUUCUGCAGUGAGUCCUGGUACUCCUUCUAACAAUCAGCAUUCCUGGUUCCCAGGGCUCUUCAAGGCCUAAAAAAAAGACCUAAAAACCUAAAAACCGAAUAUGCAUAUUCCCUGCAGUAUUUUCACUGCCUCAAGACAGACAAAAGGAUCUUGAAAAGUUCCUGCAUCCAUUCAGCAUGAGGUAACAAUAGACAUUUUAUCCCCAAAACACCACUCCAAAGGCAGUGUCUGAUUGCCCAUUUCUGAGGGACUCCAGAGCUCAGUGCCUUCUUGCAUCCAUUUAACUCAAAGUCCCUGGAUGGACUCCAGGGCCACAGGGUGGGGUCACUGACCAUGUGUUGUACAGGGGCUGAGUCUAAACCAUCUGAUGAUCUUGGGCCCAGAAAAUGUCUUACUCUGCAUAACCCCCGUGACCUUUUCCUGUGUCGCUCAUCUGUCUGCACUCGGAAAAGGCUGGCACGUGGCUGAUUUUAUGGAGGGCGUGCUGCAUGUCCUGGGAUCAGCCUUCAUGUGCUGUGAUUCCUUCUGCAGUGCUUACAGCCCUGUCAGAGACCUCAGUGCUGGGCUUUGCUCGGCCACUGGAGGGGCUUUACAGAGCCCAUUGCCCUGUUGCUCUGUCUGGA
Long non-coding RNA from Serinus canaria (Common canary), 1376 nucleotides. RefSeq lists it as uncharacterized. The record is from RefSeq and is a predicted model, not a curated record. Lineage: Eukaryota; Metazoa; Chordata; Aves; Passeriformes; Fringillidae. The transcript has 5 exons.